GGUGAACGCUGGCGGUAGGCCUAACACAUGCAAGUCGAACGGCAGCACAGUAAGAGCUUGCUCUUACGGGUGGCGAGUGGCGGACGGGUGGGGAAUACAUCGGAAUCUACUUUUUCGUGGGUGAUAACGUAGGGAAACUUACGCUAAUACCGCAUACGACCUACGGGUGAAAGCAGGGGAUCUUCGGACCUUGCGCGAUUGAAUGAGCCGAUGUCGGAUUAGCUAGUUGGCGGGGUAAAGGCCCACCAAGGCGACGAUCCGUAGCUGGUCUGAGAGGAUGAUCAGCCACACUGGAACUGAGACACGGUCCAGACUCCUACGGGAGGCAGCAGUGGGGAAUAUUGGACAAUGGGCGCAAGCCUGAUCCAGCCAUACCGCGUGGGUGAAGAAGGCCUUCGGGUUGUAAAGCCCUUUUGUUGGGAAAGAAAAGCAGCAGGUUAAUCCCCCGCUGUUCUGACGGUACCCAAAGAAUAAGCACCGGCUAACUUCGUG
Molecule: ribosomal RNA, 492 nt
Filed under: uncultured bacterium
Lineage: Bacteria
Description: partial 16S ribosomal RNA
Rfam family: Bacterial small subunit ribosomal RNA
Source: RNAcentral